UGGGGAAUAUUGCACAAUGGGCGAAAGCCUGAUACAGCGACGCCGCGUGAGGGAUGACGGCCUUCGGGUUGUAAACCUCUUUCAGCAGGGAAGAAGCGAAAGUGACGGUACCUGCAGAAGAAGCGCCGGCUAACUACGUGCCAGCAGCCGCGGUAAUACGUAGGGCGCAAGCGUUGUCCGGAAUUAUUGGGCGUAAAGAGCUCGUAGGCGGUUAGUCGCGUCUGCUGUGAAAACUCGAGGCUCAACCUCGGGCUUGCAGUGGGUACGGGCUGACUAGAGUGCGGUAGGGGUGACUGGAAUUCCUGGUGUAGCGGUGGAAUGCGCAGAUAUCAGGAGGAACACCGAUGGCGAAGGCAGGUCACUGGGCCGCAACUGACGCUGAGGAGCGAAAGCAUGGGGAGCGAACAGGAUUAGAUACCCUGGUAGUCCAUGCCGUAAACGUUGGGCACUAGGUGUGGGGUCCAUUCCACGGAUUCCGUGCCGCAGCAAACGCAUUAAGUGCCCCGCCUGGGGAGUACGGCCGCAAGGCUAAAACUCAAAGGAAUUGACGGGGUC
RNAcentral lists this ribosomal RNA (555 nucleotides) under uncultured bacterium. RNAcentral's name for it is "partial 16S ribosomal RNA". It matches the Rfam family "Bacterial small subunit ribosomal RNA", at positions 355 to 920 of the family's 1533-position model. The record is from RNAcentral.